RNAcentral lists this ribosomal RNA (405 nucleotides) under uncultured bacterium. RNAcentral describes it as "partial 16S ribosomal RNA". It matches the Rfam family "Bacterial small subunit ribosomal RNA", at positions 28 to 526 of the family's 1533-position model. The record is from RNAcentral.
GAUGAACGCUGGCGGCGUGCCUAAUACAUGCAAGUCGAGCGAAGCGGGGACGGGUGAGUAACACGUGGAUAACCUCCUAUAAGACUGGGAUAACUUCGGGAAACCGGAGCUAAACCGGAUGCUUAUAGAACGAUCCUCGCUGCAUUAGCUAGUUGGUAAGGUAACGGCUUACCAAGGCAACGAUGCAUAGCCGACCUGAGAGGGUGAUCGGCCACACGGGAACGUAGACACGGUCCAGACGCCUACGGUAGUCAGCAGUAGGGAAUCUUCCGCAAUUGGCGAAAGCCUGACGGAGCAACGCCGCGUGAGUGAUGAAGGUCUUCGGAUCGUAAAACUCUGUUAUUAGGGAAGCGGUACCUAAUCAGAAAGCCACGGCUAACUACGUGCCAGCAGCCGCGGUAAUUC